RNAcentral lists this transfer RNA (75 nucleotides) under Porphyromonas sp. Its description in RNAcentral is "tRNA-Val". It matches the Rfam family "tRNA". Rfam says of the family: Transfer RNA (tRNA) molecules are approximately 80 nucleotides in length. Their secondary structure includes four short double-helical elements and three loops (D, anti-codon, and T loops). Lineage: Bacteria; Pseudomonadati; Bacteroidota; Bacteroidia; Bacteroidales; Porphyromonadaceae. The record is from RNAcentral.
GGGCCCUUAGCUCAGCUGGUUUAGAGCACCUGUCUUACAAACAGGGGGUCGAUGGUUCGAAUCCAUCAGGGCCCA